UACGAAGGGGGCUAGCGUUGUUCGGAAUCACUGGGCGUAAAGGGCGCGUAGGCGGCUUUGUAAGUCGGGGGUGAAAGCCUGUGGCUCAACCACAGAAUUGCCUUCGAUACUGCAUGGCUUGAGACCGGAAGAGGUUAGUGGAACUGCGAGUGUAGAGGUGAAAUUCGUAGAUAUUCGCAAGAACACCAGUGGCGAAGGCGGCUCACUGGCCCGAUACUGACGCUGAGGCACGAAAGCGUGGGGAGCAAACAGG
This 253-nucleotide ribosomal RNA is filed under the name uncultured bacterium. Its description in RNAcentral is "partial 16S ribosomal RNA". It matches the Rfam family "Bacterial small subunit ribosomal RNA", at positions 524 to 776 of the family's 1533-position model. The record is from RNAcentral.